UACGGAUGGGACCAGUGUUAUUCGUAAUGAUUGGGCGUAAAGCGCGUGUAGGCGGUUUCUCUUAAGAUCAACUAAAUUGAUAGUAAAAUUUACUCUUAAGUUCGAUUGGAUUGGAAACUAUGAGUUCAGACGGGGAAAGCAGUACGAGCCGAGGAAGGGUGACAUGUGACGAUUCGGCCGGGACUCUCAGUGGCGAAGGCGGCUUUCUAGGAUGUGACUGACGUUGAGACGCAAAAGCGUGGGGAGCAAACAGG
Molecule: ribosomal RNA, 254 nt
Filed under: uncultured bacterium
Lineage: Bacteria
Description: partial 16S ribosomal RNA
Rfam family: Bacterial small subunit ribosomal RNA
Source: RNAcentral